AAUGAACGCUGGCGGUAGGCCUAACACAUGCAAGUCGAACGGCAGCACAGGAGAGCUUGCUCUCUGGGUGGCGAGUGGCGGACGGGUGAGGAAUACAUCGGAAUCUACUUUUUCGUGGGGGAUAACGUAGGGAAACUUACGCUAAUACCGCAUACGACCUACGGGUGAAAGCAGGGGACCUUCGGGCCUUGCGCGAUUGAAUGAGCCGAUGUCGGAUUAGCUAGUUGGCGGGGUAAAGGCCCACUAAGGCGACGAUCCGUAGCUGGUCUGAGAGGAUGAUCAGCCACACUGGAACUGAGACACGGUCCAGACUCCUACGGGAGGCAGCAGUGGGGAAUAUUGGACAAUGGGCGCAAGCCUGAUCCAGCCAUACCGCGUGGGUGAAGAAGGCCUUCGGGUUGUAAAGCCCUUUUGUUGGGAAAGAAAUCCAGCUGGCUAAUACCCGGUUGGGAUGACGGUACCCAAAGAAUAAGCACCGGCUAACUCCGUGCCAGCCGCCGCAGUAA
RNAcentral lists this ribosomal RNA (506 nucleotides) under uncultured bacterium. RNAcentral describes it as "partial 16S ribosomal RNA". It matches the Rfam family "Bacterial small subunit ribosomal RNA", at positions 29 to 523 of the family's 1533-position model. The record is from RNAcentral.